GGAAGAUGAGAAGCGGUAUUUUCUCACUCUAAAACUUAUGAGAUGAGUGUGUGCCCCAUCCCUGGUUAUGACACAUGGGCACUCUCAUUCUUAUCCAAUCAGAUUCC
RNAcentral lists this small nucleolar RNA (107 nucleotides) under Amborella trichopoda. RNAcentral's name for it is "snoRNA snoZ279_R105_R108". The record is from RNAcentral. Lineage: Eukaryota; Viridiplantae; Streptophyta; Magnoliopsida; Amborellales; Amborellaceae.